Molecule: ribosomal RNA, 460 nt
Filed under: uncultured bacterium
Lineage: Bacteria
Description: partial 16S ribosomal RNA
Rfam family: Bacterial small subunit ribosomal RNA
Source: RNAcentral
CCUACGGGGGGCAGCAGUGAGGAAUAUUGGUCAAUGGACGAGACUCUGAACCAGCCAAGUAGCGUGAAGGAUGACUGCCCUAUGGGUUGUAAACUUCUUUUAUGCAGGCAUAAACUGAGGCACGUGUGCCUUUUUGCAUGUACUUUAUGAAUAAGGACCGGCUAAUUCCGUGCCAGCAGCCGCGGUAAUACGGAGGAUCCGGGCGUUAUCCGGAUUUAUUGGGUUUAAAGGGAGCGUAGAUGGGUUGUUAAGUCAGUUGUGAAAUGCAGCGGCUCAACCGUGACACUGCAAUUGAUACUGGCGGUCUUGAGUGCGGUUGAGGUAGGCGGAAUUCGUGGUGUAGCGGUGAAAUGCUUAGAUAUCACGAAGAACCCCGAUUGCGAAGGCAGCUUACUAAACCGUUACUGACACUGAGGCUCGAAAGUGUGGGUAUCAAACAGGAUUAGAUACCCGUGUAGUC